CCACUCAUUCAAAGAGUGCGUAAUAGCUCACUGGUCGAGUGGUUUUGCGCAGAAAAUGUAACGGGGCUAAGUGUUCAACCGAAGCUUAGGCAUUGCAGUAAUGCAUUGGGUAGGGGAGCGUCGUAUGCGGGGCGAAGUCAGAGCGGAAGCACUGGUGGACUGCAUACGAGUGAGAAUGCCGGAAUAAGUAGCGAGAAUUAUGUGAGAAUCAUAAUGGCCGAAAAUCUAAGGUUUCUUGGGGAAGGUUCGUCCGCCCAAGGUUAGUCGGGAGCUAAGCUCAGGCCGAGAGGCGUAGGCGAUGCACAUACGGUAGAAAUUCCGUAACCACCGAACAUUUAAGCUAGAGGGACGCUUUCUUUAAGGUUAUCCCGGGCGAUGGUUGCCCCGGGCGUAAGGGACCGAAAUAUAGUAGGGAAGUAACUGGCGAGAGAGACGAGAAAAGCUCUAGUGUAUACUAAGGUGCCCGUACCGCAAACCGACACAGGUAGAAGAGGAUGAGUAUUCUAAGGCCAACGGGAGAAGGGUUGUUAAGGAACUCGGCAAAUUGGCCCCGUAACUUCGGGAUAAGGGGCGCCUGCGAGAGCAGGCCGCAGUGAAAAGGCCCAAGCGACUGUUUAGCAAAAACACAGCUCUCUGCUAAAUCGAAAGAUGACGUAUAGGGGGUGACGCCUGCCCGGUGCUGGAAGGUUAAGGGGAGUGCUUAGCGCAAGCGAAGGUGCGAACUUAAGCCCCAGUAAACGGCGGCCGUAACUAUAACGGUCCUAAGGUAGCGAAAUUCCUUGUCAGGUAAGUUCUGACCCGCACGAAUGGCGUAACGAUUUGGGCACUGUCUCAACAGCCCGCCCGGCGAAAUUGUAGUACCGGUGAAGAUGCCGGUUUCCCGCAACUAGACGGAAAGACCCCAUGGAGCUUCACUGUAGCUUGAUAUUGGACUUCGGUAUUCCAUGUACAGGAUAGGUGGGAGGCUAGGAAGCGAGCGCGCCAGCGUUCGUGGAGCCGUCCUUGGGAUACCACUCUUGGGAUAUUGGAGUUCUAACCUGCGACCAUGAAUCUGGUCGGGGGACAUUGUCAGGU
Molecule: ribosomal RNA, 1074 nt
Filed under: human gut metagenome
Description: bacterial LSU rRNA
Rfam family: Bacterial large subunit ribosomal RNA
Source: RNAcentral